RNAcentral lists this transfer RNA (69 nucleotides) under Paratimomenus flavocapitatus. RNAcentral's name for it is "tRNA-Lys". The record is from RNAcentral. Lineage: Eukaryota; Metazoa; Arthropoda; Insecta; Dermaptera; Forficulidae.
GGUAGGGAAGCUUAAAAGUAAGCAUUGGUCUCUUAAACCACAUAAAGGUGAAUUAACGAUCACCCUCCA